This is a long non-coding RNA of Suricata suricatta (meerkat), 401 nucleotides long. RefSeq lists it as uncharacterized. Lineage: Eukaryota; Metazoa; Chordata; Mammalia; Carnivora; Herpestidae. The transcript has 2 exons. The record is from RefSeq and is a predicted model, not a curated record.
GCUGUCCCCACGCUCAGAAAUUGUAAAAGGAAAAGACGGCUUUCUUGGCCUUUGAAGUCCUUACCUGAGAAAAGGAGCCCAAAAAGAAGCUUGACCCUGGAAGAAGGCAGUCUAGGAUGGUCUCACGACAAGUAUCACCCACGAGGGACCCCCUAAGGGACCCAAGGAUGCUCACCUACUCUCAGCCCCUCACCCUUUGCAAAACUGCAUUUCUGUCUUGGACACUUCCUUUUGGAGGAUGGACAUUCAUCUUUUUUGUUGGCUCAAGCUUUCUCUGUAAGCCCCACCUGCUUUCUCUGGAGUGUCACUGUCAUAGCCAUGUCCUCAAGAACCUGGUCUUCCAGGUCCGGUAAGGCGUGGAGCAGUAAAAGCACCGGGCUGUGCCUUCCCCCACCUCCACA